Molecule: long non-coding RNA, 3723 nt
Filed under: Manihot esculenta (cassava)
Lineage: Eukaryota; Viridiplantae; Streptophyta; Magnoliopsida; Malpighiales; Euphorbiaceae
Description: long non-coding RNA (MESC_LNC010643)
Source: RNAcentral
GCAAAUGGAGUAAUAAAUUAAAUUAUUCAAAUAAAACAACGACGCUAAGGCAAAACUACCAACGAAAGCUGAUUUCACAUGCAGGGAGAUGGCAGAAGGAUUAAGGAGAACAGAGGAAACAACCAUUUUGCCACCGAUAAAUUUUGAUGCUUAGCUUAUUAGCGCCAAAGGCGGGAAAACAAAAGGGCACCAAUGUCGGUCACAUGUCCUUUAAAACUACCUCGUUAGUCGGUAGCGCACACAGCACAUGACCAUAUAAAAGGGGUCAUGGAGGUCUUUCGAGGCCACGUUGUCUUUUUCCACAAUACUAUAAUAGCAAAACCCGUAACAUAAAAUACCCAAAUUCAAACAAGCAAUUAGGCAUAAAAAUGCAAAUCCAUAGACAUCAUGACAAACUCGAACAAAGUAAACAAGACAGAGACCCAACCAAUGACGACUAGGAGAAUCCAACUAAAAAACACUGCCCCACACAGAACACAGAAAUGCACUCCAAAUGUCCCUCUCCCCCAACCCCUCCUUUUAUUUCAACUCCUUAGAAGCUAUAAUAAUACGAUCAACUUUAUUACAUGAAGAAAGUAGCAACACUUGUCACCGAGGGUGAGAGAAUAACACCCUAAAGAAGUCACUCCUCCUCUGAUUCUGACUCAGCAUUCUGAAGCCACUCAACCAAAGGCUUCAUAUUCUUCCAGACUGGCGAGCUUUUGUUGCCACCACUCAGUCCCUUCUGGUACCACUCUAGGAUGAACUCCUCUUCCAGCACAUCCUUGUCAUACAACACUUUAACAGCCAAAGGUACCUCCUUCAGUACUUCAGGGCUUGCAUUAUCACAGAAAGACUCAAAAGCAUGCAACAGAAGCAUCUGUGAUCCCUCCUCUUGAACUGCUGCUGCUAGGUAGUUCUUCUUUUUCGUUACCUCCUUAGAAAACCCUUUCUCAACACCUCCAAAGAGAGCAGCAAACAGAGCAUUAAUGACUUCUUGAGGUGUCCCAGAGAGCGAACUCAAGAAGGAUUUCAGCUGGCUUGCAGGAGAACCCAUUUGCAGAUAUCCCUUUAUCUCAUUAACAAGGCCUUCUGAGGGGUCAUUGCUUUUAAUGCCAUUCUGGUGAGACUUGGCUUCCCGUUCUGGAGACUUCUUUCCUGACUUGGCCUUUUCUUCAACUGUGGAUAGCAUUACCAUAUCUGCAGUAACAGCACUCAACUGCUCCUGUAUGCGUUGUUUAGCUGCCUCCAGAGAAGUAUCUGUUUGCCACUCAACAUCAUCCUCAUCAUCAUUGUCAUCAUUAGCAAUCCCGUGGUCAUUCUCAUCAGCUUGGCUGCGAGCUGGUGAGUGGUCCUCAUCCGAGCCGUUGCUUUUCUUCUUGGAUGAUGUACCUUUAGAAAGGUCCUUAGAACUACCAGACGAGCCCUUCUUCUUGGUCUCCUUUUUGUGCUUCUUCAUCUCCUCAUCAGCAGCCUCACCUUCCUUCAGCCGUUCCUUCUCAGCCCUCCUCAUAGCCUUCUUGUCUUUCGAUCCCUUCUUUGGCUCAGGCGGGCUCUUAAGAAUAAAUGUUGUAAGCUUAUCCCUCAUAUCAACAUCAGAGAUGAAUCCACAUGCAGCACACUUUAGGGUGAUCAUUUGUGUCUUAGUGAUAACUAUCUCAGUUUCAGGGUUACCACAGCCAUAACACUGCACAUACUUCUUGAUGAAGUUCUCAAGCAAGCCAGCAAGCUUUGCAGUAUCAUGGGCUCCAUUCACAAGUGAAGUUCCAGUUUUCUCAUCAAACUUGGAUUGGGCUCCAAGCUCAUUGCCAAAGUACUUUGUUGUGUAGGAAGCAGGUCUAGCCAAGGCCUUAGCAAUCUCAACCAUGUUAACAACGUUAGUUUUGAUGCCAUUUCCCCUACCUUCAAUCUUGGUUAUCAUUUUUGGCAUCUUGUACCUGUAAAAGGCAUCAUCACUGUUGGAAGCACCAAUAUUUUGCAGCGCCAUCUUGCUUGUACUGAUGGAGAUACCAGUAUCUCGUUAAUCAAAAGGGACAAAAACCAGAGGCGUUAUGUUCUUUAUCAAACAGGUUCCUUGAAGAUGAGAAAGGCCGCAUAAACUGGCAACCUAUGUAGUCUGUGCUAUGGCCCUCAAAUAACCCAAGAUGCAUGCAGCCAACCUUAGUUGACGAAUGUCUGAUCUUUUUUCUAGACGUAGGACAGUACUCUCCAAGUAAUCCAAUUGAUGACAGAAAAAGUGAGGACCGUUCAGACAUAAAAAAAGCUUCAAACUUAACAAGCUCCACUUUGGAUGAACUGCAGACGAAGCAGACAAAACUGCCAACUUCCUGAGAGGAACACAUUGAGUUAUUUAAGAAAACUGGGGGGGUGGGGGACAGAGCAAUAAUGCAGUCGUUAAACCCAUGUCACAAUAUUAGUAAAGCAUGUAUUACAGAGAAAAUAGAAAGGAAGUGACAGCUCAUACAUAAAACUAAAACAAACAACGACCUAAACAAUCCCACACCAAACAACCAAAGGGCAGAUGAAUUUGUAUGAGCAGUGGCAUGGAACUGAUUAAACGAUUUCAUGUGCGUGUACCACAGGACUUGAUGUCAAACCAAUAUAACAACCUACCAAUAAAGCAAAUUGUCUAAGAAUAUAGACGUACAAGAAAUGGAAUUGGUGAGGUGAGACUGAUAGCAAAGGUGUAAGGUUGGACUGGUAACAGAGGUUGUACUGCUCAGAAAACAGAUAUAGCAACUAAGAACAGAUCAAACUCAACUUCUUUUAAUUGUUUAUACAGAACUUAUUUAGCUAUUAGAAAUAAUGCAAUAAUGAAAAAGCAUAUUUGAUAGAGAGAUGAAUUUAACAGGCAGUUAAGACAAGAAAAGUAAAAUACUUCUCAAAAAUUAUUUCUUUCCUUGCCGGUACUUGUUUUUUGCUUGCAAAAUAAUAAUGACAAAGAGAGAGCCUAAUCAAACAGAUAUAGCUUUUAUCUCUUCAUGAAAGAACUAAGAUAGAGAGCUAUGCAAAUACUUAUAGAUCAGAGAUCUAAAAGAUAAAAACACUACAAAUAGCCAAGGAUAUCUAAUUUGUAAAGCAAGAAAUAUCUGCAUAUUUAACCAAUAACAAAAGAAGGUGUUGAGCUGAUGAUUCCGAUAAAAAUCCCUAACCUAGGGAACAAUCAUAAAAUAUGUACAUGUGCAUAAGAAAACAAUUACGCCAAAUACAUGAUCAGCUUUCAACGAUUCCGCUAAGCAGAUGACAGUUUAGCUCCACCCAAACACACAACUUAUACAAACCCCAAUCACUAACCAAAAUCCGAAAAGAUCAAAACCAGAAGCUAAACCCGAUAUUGCAUCGACCAAUCCAAACAACUUAUAUCUAGAUAGCAAAAUUAAUAAUAAUAAUGAUAAUAAUAAUAAUAAUUAAAACGGGGGAGGGGGAGAUUAUUCACAGAUCUAAAACGAUUUUAACAAAAAUAAAAAAAAAUUAUAGCUCCGAUUAAACGAAACUCGCUUGAAUCAGACGUUACUCGCUUCAAGACGAAGAAGAAAUACAACCAAUGGAACAAAGAAAAUAAUCGAAAAACAUAACAAUAAACAAUAAUCGAUUACAAUAAAACCGAACGGAUCGAAUAAAGACUCGGGAAAUUUACCUUAGAAUGAAGAGAAAAAGAGGAUCGUCGAAAGGGUGGGUCUCUGCUCUGCGUAAGAGAUUGUGAAACGCUUUGGGGGAGAGCAAUGCUUUUAUACAGAGAAAUGA